UACACAUGCAGUCGACGAUGACUUUUGUGCUUGCACAGAAUGAUUAGUGGCGAACGGGUGAGUAACACGUGAGUAACCUGCCCUUGACUUCGGGAUAAGCCUGGGAAACUGGGUCUAAUACCGGAUAUGCACCGUGGACCGCAUGGUUCUUGGUGGAAAGAUUUUUUGGUCAGGGAUGGACUCGCGGCCUAUCAGCUUGUUGGUGAGGUAAUGGCUCACCAAGGCGACGACGGGUAGCCGGCCUGAGAGGGUGACCGGCCACACUGGGACUGAGACACGGCCCAGACUCCUACGGGAGGCAGCAGUGGGGAAUAUUGCACAAUGGGCGAAAGCCUGAUGCAGCGACGCCGCGUGAGGGAUGACGGCCUUCGGGUUGUAAACCUCUUUCAGUAGGGAAGAAGCGAAAGUGACGGUACCUGCAGAAGAAGCGCCGGCUAACUACGUGCCAGCAGCCGCGGUAAUACGUAGGGCGCAAGCGUUAUCCGGAAUUAUUGGGCGUAAAGAGCUCGUAGGCGGUUUGUCGCGUCUAUCGUGAAAGUCCGAGGCUCAACCUCGGAUCUGCGGUGGGUACGGGCAGACUAGAGUGAUGUAGGGGAGACUGGAAUUCCUGGUGUAGCGGUGAGAUGCGCAGAUAUCAUGAGGAACACCGAUGGCGAAGGCAGGUCUCUGGGCAUUAACUGACGCUGAGGAGCGAAAGCAUGGGGAGCGAACAGGAUUAGAUACCCUGGUAGUCCAUGCCGUAUACGUUGGGCACUAGGUGUGGGGGACAUUCCACGUUUUCCGCGCCGUAGCUAACGCAUUAAGUGCCCCGCCUGGUGAGUACGGCCGCAAGGCUAACACUCAAAAGAAUUGACUGAGGCCCGCACAAUCGGCAGACCAUGCGGAUUAAUUCAAUGCAACGCGAAGAACCUUACCAUGGCUUGACAUGUGGCAGACCGCCGUGGAAACACGGUUUCCCCUUUGGGGCUGGUUC
RNAcentral lists this ribosomal RNA (973 nucleotides) under Paeniglutamicibacter sp. RNAcentral's name for it is "bacterial SSU rRNA". It matches the Rfam family "Bacterial small subunit ribosomal RNA", at positions 50 to 1033 of the family's 1533-position model. The record is from RNAcentral. Lineage: Bacteria; Bacillati; Actinomycetota; Actinomycetes; Micrococcales; Micrococcaceae.